AUGGGUGGCACCACGGCGCUCCCGCCGUCUCUGCUCCCGGGACGCAGCGCCGCCGCCGACCUCCACCCCUGCUCCUCCCGCGUGCGCGUAAACCCUGCCCUGAUGGCGAACCCCGCCGCUGAUGCCAAGAGGCCGAAGCGGCCCAUGCCCGUGCGCGACGGGCAGCCACUGGCGAAGCGCCUACACGGUGCCUGCUCCGGGGGCCAGCUCCUCCAUGCCGCGGUCGCCGCCAAGAUCAACAGCAGCAGCCUUCCGUGUCCCGGCACCACCAGCAGCGGCGAGGAUCCGAGAAGCCCGACGGCGACCAAGAACCCCGUGGCCAGCUCGCCGGAGACCGCGACGCAACCGAGCAUGCGCGAACUGAUCCAGAACGCCCGCCUCGCCAUGGCUCGUGCUGCCGCCCAAGGAGAAGAGGCCGGCCGUCGGCGUGACAUCGAGCGCAGCCGGGCGGAGGCCCGGCGGAAGGUGGAGCAGAUGGUGGACACCGUGCAGUUCAACGACCCGUGGAUCGAUCCCUCCGACGUGACCAAGUCCCCCGAGGAGCUGCUCCGAGCAAGGCAGGAAGCAUGGCGUUAUCAGGCUCAACUCAUUGCGAUGGCUCAUCAACGGGACAUGCAUGGAGGCGUUGCUCAAGCGAUGCUCAAGUGA
This 648-nucleotide ribosomal RNA is filed under the name Triticum aestivum (bread wheat). RNAcentral describes it as "partial small subunit ribosomal RNA". Lineage: Eukaryota; Viridiplantae; Streptophyta; Magnoliopsida; Poales; Poaceae. The record is from RNAcentral.